This 253-nucleotide ribosomal RNA is filed under the name uncultured bacterium. Its description in RNAcentral is "partial 16S ribosomal RNA". It matches the Rfam family "Bacterial small subunit ribosomal RNA", at positions 524 to 776 of the family's 1533-position model. The record is from RNAcentral.
UACGGAGGGUGCGAGCGUUGUUCGGAAUCACUGGGCGUAAAGGGCGUGUAGGCGGUCCGGUAAGUCUGAUGUGAAAGCCCGGGGCUCACCCCCGGAAGUGCAUUGGAAACUGGCGGACUCGAGUCCCGGAGAGGAGAGUGGAAUUCCUGGUGUAGCGGUGAAAUGCGUAGAUAUCAGGAGGAACACCGGUGGCGAAGGCGGCUCUCUGGACGGUGACUGACGCUGAGACGCGAAAGCGUGGGGAGCAAACAGG